Molecule: long non-coding RNA, 1174 nt
Organism: Exaiptasia diaphana
Lineage: Eukaryota; Metazoa; Cnidaria; Anthozoa; Actiniaria; Aiptasiidae
Exons: 2
Source: RefSeq, a predicted model, not a curated record
CGUCGAACUACYCGACACGAACGACAAUAUUUUUAUUGAAAUAUUUGAAACUUACGAUACUGCUGGCGUGGAUUGCUAAAAGAAAUUUCAASAUCUAUAUCAGCGGAGACAUAUUAACCUUAAUAUAAAUGUCAAGACAAGUCCAAGCAAAUGUCCAUAUUCAACCCCAAGUAAUUGCAAGGAAUCAAAUUAUCCAUGGGAAURUCUAUACUGGCCGUGUUUAUUCACCUCAGGCAUACAAAAGACAAAGAAUAAUAGCAACAUGCAUCCCCCUCAUAUUUUUGAUUAUGGGUGUGGUUUGUUUAGCUCUGGGCGUCACAUUGAUGGGAGCUAUGAUGCUCGGCUUGGGUGCCUUUUUCUUGGUCUUUGCAAUUUUAAUUAUCCGCAGRUCUAGAAUGAGAGAACAGCAACAAAAUGCACAAAUGGCAGUAAUUUACAACCAAGCRUCUAUGCAACCACCUUCUCAGUUUUAUCCCUCACAACAUUAYCCAGCUCAGUUGUACCCUGCCCAGAUAUCUGCACCACCCCACCCUCCACAAACCUACAAUUUUCCAAGUUCAUUGUCAACACAAGGGGUGCAAUCUCAGCAAUUCAAUGGAGUUCAGAGCAUGCAACCUGGUCCACACAUUGAACCCCCACCGCCGUCAUAUGACGAAGCAAUGACUAGUCAAAACAAAUAAUCAUGURACUGGAUGACCCAAUUAACUUAUUCUUUUGUAAUGUGACUUUGCUAAUAAAAGUAAUUGUAUCAGGUAUUUCCACUUCCCUAAUAAAUUUGGCACAAGCCAAGUUGUCAAGCCACAAAGCAGCAAGACACCAAACAAGGUUCAGGGUCCGUGCAGAGUAUCAAAAACGAAAUUUAAGGACUUUUCAAGCACUUUUUCACRGACCAAAAUUGUAUUUUUAAGGAGCAUCAAAAUCAUGCUAAUUGUACAUGCUUGCCUCAAAACUUCAGCCGAACGGAAUAAUUCAGAGGUCGAUAGCACUUCUUCGUAGAGAUCCAUCUUUUUCAAGGACUUUUUCAAAAUUUUCAAAUUUUCAAGGAGUUUCAAGUGCCCUCGAAAACGAGUUUUCAAUUCAAGCACUUUUCAAGGAUUUAAGGACCUGCACGGACCCUGAAGGUUGUACUACCUUGAAAAGAAUGGUUAUCAGACAAAAAAAAAAGAAAAGAAAA